Molecule: ribosomal RNA, 253 nt
Filed under: uncultured bacterium
Lineage: Bacteria
Description: partial 16S ribosomal RNA
Rfam family: Bacterial small subunit ribosomal RNA
Source: RNAcentral
UACAGGGGGUGCAAACGUUGCUCGGAAUUAUUGGGCGUAAAGCGCGCGUAGGCGGCUACUUAAGUCGGAUGUGAAAGCCCCUGGCUCAACUGGGGAAGUGCACCCGAAACUGAGUAGCUAGAGUGCAAAAGAGGGUCGCGGAAUUCCCGGUGUAGAGGUGAAAUUCGUAGAUAUCGGGAGGAACAUCAGUGGCGAAGGCGGCUACCUGGCCCAAUACUGACACUCAGGUGCGACAGCGUGGGGAGCAAACAGG